UGGUGGAGCGAUUUGUCUGGUCAAUUCCGAUAACGAACGAGACUCUAGCCUACUAAAUAGUUCGGGGACCCCCACAAAGGGGCCCCGCUUCAAUUUCUUAGAGGGACAGGUGGCGUUUAGCCACACGAGAUUGAGCAAUAACA
Molecule: ribosomal RNA, 143 nt
Filed under: uncultured eukaryote
Lineage: Eukaryota
Description: partial 18S ribosomal RNA
Rfam family: Eukaryotic small subunit ribosomal RNA
Source: RNAcentral